Molecule: long non-coding RNA, 1942 nt
Filed under: Homo sapiens (human)
Lineage: Eukaryota; Metazoa; Chordata; Mammalia; Primates; Hominidae
Description: HSALNT0021123
Source: RNAcentral
AAACAAUAGAAAUUUAUUGAUCCACAGUCCUGGGGGCUAGAAUACUGAAAUCAAGUUGUUGACAGGGCCACACUUCUACUGCAGCCUGUAGGGGAGAGGGCUUCCUUGCCUCUUCUUGCUUCCUGAUAGGGGUUUUCAAGCCUUGGUGUCCUUUGGCCUGCAACUGCAUCACUUGCAUCUCUGCCUCUGUCAUCACAAGGUGUUGUCCCUGUGUGUCUCUGCCUUUAUGUGGCCUUCUUCUUAAAAUGAUGCUAGUCAUGUUGCUCACCUGAAUCCAGUGCAACCUUGUCUUCACCUAAGUAAUUAUAUCUGGAAUGAUCUAUUUCCACAUAAAAUCAUGUUCUGAGGUUUUAGGGAUUAGAGACUUAAUAUGUCUUUUUUGGGGACACGGUUCAACUUGCAACACUGCCAGUUUGAGAAUCACAGGUGUAUUCCUUGGAAGAGAGCUGUUCCUAAUUUUCUCAGGUCUUACAAUAGUGCCUUAUGCUAGUUAGCUUCCCCAUUCCAUUCACAUGGAAUCCACACAUCCUCAUUCCAUGAGUGUGUGUGUGUGUGUAUAACUUAUUAACAUAAAUGGAAUUAUAUUAUGCAUCUUUUUAAGCAACUUGUUUUAUACACUUAACAGUAUGCCUUGGAAUUCCUUCCAUGGAUGUACAUAUAAAUUGACUUGAUCCCUUGUUACCAUGACACAGUGAUUUCAUAAUAUUGAAUUUAAUUCCUAUAAUUUAAACAUUUCCCUAUAGGUAGACAUUAAGGUUGUUUUCAAUUGUCUUGGCUACUACAAAUGUAAUAUUUGGUGAAGGAAUUUCUUUGUGGGAAGAGGCUAUUUUUGUUAAAAAAGAUGUUGCUGGAUAGCCUCAAACUAGAGUCAGAAUCAACUGUGCAUAAUAAAUUUAUGAGGGAGAAGAAGGAGGCUAGAGGCUGGAUUCUCUGGGGGGUCAAAGUCAGAUUAAGAGGGGAAGCUUAGAGGAAGCACUUUGAGGGCAACAUGGCCAAGGGGGAUCUUUUGAGUUAAAUGAUGCACACCGGGCUGGGCACGGUGUGCACCACCACACCUAGCUAAUUUUUGCAUUUUUAGUAGAGACGGGGUUCCCCCAUGUUGGUCAGGAUGGUCUGAAUCUCUUGACCUCGUGAUCCACCCACCUCAGCUUCCCAAAGUGCUAGGAUUACAGGCGUGAGCCACAGCGCCUGGCUGGUUGGCUGCAUCUCUUAACUAAAUGUUACAGCUCCUGCCAUGUGGUGCUCUCCAUACAGGUCUUCACAUCUUGAGGUUUUGGUAACAGGUCUCUUCUCUUGUCCCUGUGGGCCUUACGAUGGAAACAGCUGCAACUAACCCUGAGAUAUCACUAUCUUUUGUGAUUUCCCUGUGCCUUGCCCCUUUUUUUAUUAAAUGCUACUAAAAUUACCCAAUUUGAGGGUGUCAUCUCUUACUUCUUGGGCCCUGAUCAAUAUAGGGCUUUGCUGAGUUGUUCAUCAUGCUGAUGUUUUGUUUCCCAUUUAAUCAUAGUUAGGUGAUGCCUAAUAAGUGCUUACUAAAUAUUUGUUGAAUGAGUAAAUGUCUAAAUGAGUGAGUGGCAGGAUUUGAACUCCAACUCCCCCUCUCCAAACUUCCAAUGCAGAGUUUAGUGUUCACAUGUAAAGUACAGAUGCUUGAUGUCCUCUGAGAGCAGUAAAUGGGCAUUGGGUCUGUGGCUCAAGUUUCUGGGACCUCCAUUUUCCUGGGUUUGCCCUAGUUCCUUAUGCCUAGGUGUCUUCUUUCCCAGAGGAGCAAUAUGCAAUAAUAUGAAGAAUAUCAGAAAUACACAGAAAAGGUAAAGACACAAUAUUCCCCACCAAACAAAGAUUAGGGUGAUUUCUUCCACUCAGGAAGAGAUAAAGAGUUCAGACCACAAAAUAAGAAACAAAUAUUGAAAAAUUUCAUUUGUACAGUUUAUGGUUUUAA